Molecule: long non-coding RNA, 2655 nt
Organism: Aegilops tauschii subsp. strangulata
Lineage: Eukaryota; Viridiplantae; Streptophyta; Magnoliopsida; Poales; Poaceae
Source: RefSeq, a predicted model, not a curated record
UCGCAUUCAUUGCGACGGGAGCCAGCACGGUACGCGCGGACCAGGUGGUUCUCGCACGGCUCGGGCAUUUUUCUGUUCCACCCUGAGCCGUGCCCGUGACCCGGUCUCCCUCACGGCCACCGGCCCCGGCCCGCCAUAAUUGCAUCCCCCACCCAUGCUCCCCCUCGCAACCAACACGACCCAAUCUAGCAUCGUACUCAGCCGCUGCAACUGCACGAGAGCCAUGCCCGUGUCAGCUUCCUCCUCUGAUGGCGUACCCUUGCUGCGACGCGGAGCUAGUCACCGCCAUAGCUGGAGGGUCAGAAACCUAGAUCCAGGUUCUACAAGUGCAUCCUAUACGACAUCGGUCGUGUUGUGGCGUUCGCAGGCAUCAAUGAAGCAUAUCAGCAGGCUACCCAGUCUUAACCUGCAAAAAUACCAAGUUCCUGCUAAUAGCAUUGGACAUGCAGUUCGAUCUGGCAGACAAAUGUUAAUUUCUUUUGUUCUCUGUUAUUCGCCUGCCUUAACAUAGGAUUUAUCUGAAUAUAAGUUAACUGAGCGGCUACGCCAUCUAGCUAACUGAACCAUGCUGAAUACAACUACCUGCUGCUACCAUUUUCAACUGUAGAACCACAUUUGCGCACCACAAACUGAUUCCUCGAACAGAUCAGUUAUCUCCAGAUGCGCACAAAAAUAAACUUACGAUCUGCUGAUGGAAGGAGUUCACCUUACCUCUUCGUCCAGCCUCCGGGUUAACCAUCCUAGUCGAGAGGCCAAGGUCCAGGAUCCGCACUGACGUCCUGUACCAUGGCACAGCAUCACGCCGUGACGGAGACGACAAGCACCCACGCGGGACGACGCCCCACCAUACGGAAAAGGCCCACCGUACGCUACUGUAGCCCCAUGUAUUGCGCCUGUAUCUUUCUUUUCUGUGGGCAAAGACUGCUGCGACAGCUGGACUUUCUCGCAUCCCAAUAAUGUAGAGAAUGACCAGGAUUUAGGGUGCAGCUGAGCCUGGGCACCAAAACGCCCCUCCCUAUAUCGAAUAUUAGUUACGGAGGAGUACUAAAUAAUAAACAGAAAAGUAGGCAUGUGUGUCAGGGACAGCUAAAGAUUUAGGGCAGGGCCAUAUCGGUCGAAGAAUUGGUCACAUGAGUGGAAUACAAAAACAAACUGCAAAAAACUAGAAAAGGCACAACUAUAUUAGACUCAAAGUAAACAAGUAGGACGGGUUUUGUUUAGUCAAGUACAUUUCAUAAACUGUGGGAAUAAAAUAUCUUGGACCAAGUCUUUCGUGUACAUAACUUGUCUUCUCCAAGAGAUUAUAAUGUAUUAAUAACUAAUUCUUGAACACAGCAAAGUUGUAAUUCUGUACGCAGGCCUUUGUCGGUGCUUCAUGGUGUACAAAUGUUAAGAAUGUCACAUAGACAAAAAAAUGAUGUGGCAAAGCAAUUAAGAAAAAGAAUUGGUCACAUGAGAAGAGCAUAAACAAACCGCCAAAAACUAGAAAAGGCACAAUUAUUAGACUCAAAGUAAACAAGUAGGACGGGUUUCUUUAGUCAAGUACACUCUUUCAUAAAUUGUGGGCAGAAAAUAUCUUGGAUCAAGUCUUUCCUGUACACAACUUGUCUUUUCCAAUAGAUUGUACAAUAAUACCUAAUUCUCAAACACAACAAAGUUAUGUACUUAUACUCUUUUCAGCGCUUCACGGGGUGCCGGUGCUAAGAAUGUCACAUAGGCAAAAGACUAAUUUGGUAAAGCAAUUAAGGAGGAGAGAUAGCUCCCCGUAAAAAAAAAGGAGAGAUAGCACUUCGAUGACCUCAGAAUCGAUGUCAAGCGCACAGACCUAUGCAAAAUGUCUACCAAACAAUCCAUAAAUGAGUUUAGUUACUAAACAAUUAAUGAAGGGAGCUUAGCUAUAACACCAAGCACAUAUGCAUUGGAGAGACGAUAUUCUUUUAGAACAAGGAGACAUUAGUUGUUAAGCCUUUUAAUACACUUAGCCCCACACAUAAGCACCGGUGCAUUGAAAAAGGCCUUACCAGAUACUCCCUCCAUCCAAAUAUAUAUAGGGCCUAAUACAGUUUUUGAGAUUACAUUUGACCACGGCUUGUAUUCCACCUCUCUUCUCUUUCCUCUCCUUUCUCUACUAACAAGGCACAAAUCCGAUGUGGCAUCUCUUAUAGAAAACAAGGAAGAGGAGAAAAAACAAAAACCGGGUAAAAACAACUGAAAUGAAAUGGAAAAGAAAGGAAUUGAAGCUUCCAUAAGCUUCUCAAAACCGGUCUUGGGAGCUUCUGUAAUUGGGAGGAGCUUCCAACGCGUACGAUAUGUUGGAUGGGCCGGUCUGCUAACUAAUCUAUCGAGGGAUGUGUGUGCCAUGUACGAAUUACAAUGUAUUUAAGCGCCAAAUAGGAUUCACCUGACAUGACAAGCGUUGAUGAAAAGGCGAGAUGCGUUAAAUGAGCCGGACAGGUGAGCAACACUCAGACGCGGAGGAGGAGCUCUCGGAUCUGCAGCCCCCUAGAAUCUACACGUCCAUUAUUGUCUCAGGAAGGAUGUAAUUAAUGCAGAUUAAUUUUGCUUUGUGUCAAUACAAAGUAUAUACUCGCUUGUAUUCACAGCAAGAACAACUUUUUAAUUCGUGAACAUUUUUUAAACAUUUUUAGUAAACAA